CUCACUCAGGAUGGUUUCAUCUAGUUCCAUCCAUUUUACUGCAAAUUUAAAGAUUACUUUUUUUUUUGCUCUGUUGAGUAGUAUUCCCUUGUAUAAAUGUACCACAUUUUCUCCAUUCAUUCUUCAGUUGAGGGGCAUCUAGGUUGCUUUCAGAUUCUGGCUAUUACAAAUAAUGCUAUGAACAUGGUUGAACAGAUGUCCUUGUUGUAUGAAUGUGCAUCUUUUGGGUAUAUGCCCAAGAGUGGAAAUUGCUGGAUCUUGUGGUAGACUAAUUCCCAUUUUCCUGAGGAACUGACAUACUGAUUUCCAAAAUGGCUGUAUGAGUUGGCACUCCCACCAGAAGUGGAGGAAUGAUCUGCUUUCUCCACAUCCUCUCCAGCAUAAACUGUCAUUGGUGUUUUUUAUUUUGGCCAUUCUGACAGGAGUAAGAUGGUAUCUCAGAGUUGUUUUGAUUUGCAUUUCCCUGAUGGCUAAGGAUGUUGAGCACUUUCUUAAGUGUCUUUGAGCCAUUUUAGAUUCCUCUAUUGAGAAUUUUCUAUUUAGUUUUGUACCCCACUUUUUAAUUGGGUUAUUUGGUGUUUUGGAGAUUAGCCUCUUGAGUUCUUUGUAUAUUUUGGAGAUCAGCCUUUUGUCAGAUGUGGGGCUGGUGAAUAUUUUUUCCCAUUCUGUGGGCUGCCAUUUUCUCUUGUUAACUGUACCCUUUGCCUUACAGAAGCUUCUCAGUUUCAGAAGGUCCCAGUCCCCUGGAGAAGGGGAAAGGGACAAGAUCUCCUGAGCCAACUGGGAGCAUGGGGGAGGAGAGAGGGAAUUAGGAGAAAAAGAAGGGGUGAAGAAGAGGGGAGAGGAGGACAUGAGAGAGCAGGAAGAUCGAGUGAGAGGAAUAAUAGAGGAGAGCAAGAAAAGAGAUACCAUAAUAGAGGGAGUCAUUAUAGGUUUAAAGAGAAAUCUGGUACUAGGGAAAUGUCCAGAAAUCUACAAGGUUGACCCCAACUAACAAUCUAAGCAAUAGUCGAGAGGCUACCUUAAAUGACCUUCUCUGACAAUGAGAUUGAUGACUACCUUAUAUGCCAUCCGGGAGCCUUCAUUCAGUAGCUGAUGGAAACAGAAGCAUAUACCCACAGCUAACCACUGAGCUGUGGAAUCCAGUUGCAGAGAGGGAGGAGUGAUGAGCAAAGGGGCCAAGACCAGCCUGGAGAGACCCACAGAAACAGCUGACCUGAAUAAGGGGGAGCUCAUGGAUCCCAGACUGAUACCUGGGAAUCCAGCAUAGGACUGUUCCAGACCCCCUGAAUGAGGCUGUCAGUUUGGAGGUCAGGUUAAUGGACUUGGGAGCCCACUCCACAUAGAGGGAUACACUCAUCUUCAGAGUCAGGUCCAUGGUGUUUUUCAGAUAAAACAUAUAGCAAAGUCAGAAGAAGAAAGGCCAGUUCUUGUACUUCUAAUUAUCAAUGACUGUCCAUUCAUUGAGAAAAUUACAGCAUGCUUGUGACCUUUCCCAGAAUAAGAAACCUUCAUUAGAGACCCCAUCAUGUUGGUGUUUCUUACUUCAAAAUAUCCUUAAUUAUCUAAAAGAUGAAAAAAUAUAUAUGGGACACAGAAAGAAGCAAACAGCAUUAAUUUUCAAAUCAACAUUCCAAAGGAAAAAGAACGAUUUCUCCACACCUCUGGGCUUAUACUCUGUGAUAUGCAGCGGACCAGUGCUCAGACUCAUGCUGUUUUUCUGAAGCCCCUUUAUUUAUUUUUCAUUAAUCUGUUUCCCUUGUGUGCCUGGAACUCAGUAAUCUGCUCAUCUCUAGCAUGAUCUAUACUAUAAUCCAUCGUUUCUCUCUUCAUGCAUUUUAAUGAAGCAAUUUUUGCCUCCUUUACAUAACGGCUGUCCUGAUUUCAAACUACAACAUAACCAUUUAUUGUCACAUCACUGAAAGCAAAUCUUUAAAAGGAAUACGUCACAACAGGAUAGAUAAGGAUUUUUCACUCUUUUAAUUUUUCUUUUUUGGAAGAGGCCUUUGUGAACUCAGUAGCAUUUUUAUCAUUUAAUUUUCAGUAGCUGCUCAGGCUUGGAAAUAGAUAUCCCUGUGAGACACCAACCCAAGUGGGACAAAUGCUGGUGGCAGUCAGAGUCCUUUGUCCCCUCCAGGUCUCAUCUGUUGACAGGAUGCUUUGAAUUGUUGUACUCCCCGAACUGCUCUUGCAGGUUGGUUAUGUCCUCAAAGAGCGAUAGAACAGCUGUGCAGGAAGUGGCUGCUCAGUGUUGCCAUUUUGUGUCUGGCAUUGUCUUCCCCCUGUGUUUAUUUGGUCAUUGUCCCGGACUUGGGCUGUUUGUACCAUUCUGCUUACCAGUUGUUGCACAUUCAGGUCUGUGUUUAUCUGACUGCUUUCUGACCUUUGGUAUCUGUGUGAUAUCUGACCCACCAUGGUGCUCUUUUUCCAGGAAUACUAGAUAAUGUCCUCCUGGCUAUUCUUGGGAACCAGGUUACCUUGGUGUGUCCCCGAUUUCACAGCUUGCUGUGCCCUGCACCACUGUUGGACUUUUCAAUUCUUGCACACCUUGUGGUAGAUUUAUCUUUCAUUCAUUAUUUCAUUCUUUCAAUAAUCAGCUAUUAAACACCUAUGUAUAUAGUUGUCAGAAAGAAAAAUAAGAUAAAUAUUCUUCCCAGUCACAAAAUCAUUGAUUAGAAGAUGAAAAGAUCUAAAAGGGAGACAGAGAGGAGUUUUGAAAGGCUCUUCCACACAUUUGGGGUCCCCCACUAAGAAAAAAUUUGCAGUAGUAUGGAGAGACAUUUAGGCAAGGAUUUUGGAAGGGGUUGCUGUAGAGGUGGUCCUAAGCUUCAUUAGCUUCUCUUGUGAGGCUAUGUAGUUUUCAAGAAGUGCCAAGUCAUGGAGUGAAAAUAUGAAGAGAAUAUUAUGAAGGCAUGCAGGAAAGGCAAGUAAAUACUCUUGGUGUCAAGGAUGGCUUUUUGGAAGAAGUUGGCCCUGAUCUGCUUCAAAACCUAACUUCUAUUUAAGUAGAUGAUGGAGAUAGGAAAGAGGGUGGCAGUAGGCAAAGUGUUUUGAACAUAGAGUUUUACAUAUGGGCAUCAGCCACAAUAGGAAGGCUUGAGUGCUGCCAGCAGCUGUAUUUAUUUGGAAUAGAGGAGCCAUAAGUGAUAUUGGAGAAAGAAAUGGAGAUCAAACCACUGGGAAGUUUGGUGCCACAAUAUAGAGCUUAGAUUUCAUCUUGGAUAAACCACCUUGGUGGAAAAUGUGUGUGUGUGUGUGUGUGUGUGUGUGUGUGUGUGUGUGUGUGUGUGUGUGUGUAUUUCAGUUAGGAGCUGCAGCAGUCAGAGAAGCAGGAGAUGGACAAGUUGUGAACUAAAGACAUUACAGCAGGAAGGAGUGAAGAUUAAAUGUAGGGUUGAGGAAGACUAGAGAAUAAACUCCUGGAUUUCUACCUUGGGUGUCAAAGAAAUAUCACAUGUAGAAGAGCAGGUAGGGGAGGGGGCUGAUCUGGGGGGAGAUUGUGUAUUUAGUUGUAAGAAAACUUGGCUUCCAGAAAAAAUGGCAUCCAAGUCUGAAGUUAGGGAAGAGUCUAACAGGAAGUAAACACUGGGAAAACAUGGGCACCUAGGGAACAGGUAGAAGCAAGGGGAAGAACCAGAUAACGGGGGAGGUGUGGAGAAAAGUACAGAAAGCCAGAGAGGGAGCUCUGGAAGAUGUCAGAACAAAUCACAAGAGGGACUGAGGAAGCUGCAGAGUCCGGUACCAACACAGAGGAAACUGUUUUAACAUGGUGAAGGCUGAGUCCUGCAAUAAAAAGAAUGAAACAUGUUCUUUGGGGUUUUCAGCAGGAUGCAAGUGGAGACCAGGAUGAGAAUAUGUGGACAGCUGUGAUGAGAGCAAGCCUGUUCCCAAAGGUUGAGCAAGCAGGUGUUUGCCUGCACGAUGGCAGAUGUGCAUACCUGUUAGGGGACAAUUUGUGGGAGUUGGUUCUCUCCUUCUAUCCUGUGGAUUCCAAGGAUCAGACUCACGUCACCAGGCUUGGAGGCAAGCACUCUUACCCAAUGAAGGGUUUUGCCGUCUCACAUUUCUCCUUUUGGAUCGAUGUCACAGCUAUGAGGAAGCUGUCCCAUACAUGUGGGCUCCCAUCAUUUCCUAAACUCCAGGUUCUUCUGUUCCUUUUCGGGUAUUACAUCUGUCUUUCUAGAAGUUAGCUAGUGCAAACCUGACUGUGUACAAUUUUGAUCUUGAUGUUUUCUGUCAUCUCGGAAGUUCAGUGAUUCAUAUAUUGAUGGCCCAAAUGAAACAUAAACAUCUUGUUCACCAACAAAAAAAUGGAGUGGUGUGUUGAUUUGGGCUUCAUGGAAGGAAGAUGGGGAAAGGACCAAAGGUGGCAGCAGAACGGAUUUACCCUUUCAUCUCAGUUCCUAGCCCUCUCCUAUGAUUCUCAUCCUCUUCUUGACUUGCCCUGGCAGGGAGCUAUUAGCUUCAAAGGGAAUAGAAUUAUUUGUGAGUAGAAAGAAAUCAGGAAGUGUCAGCUUCAUAUCCAUUCUAGAGGCAAGAAGAUCAAGAUCUAUGUCCACGGCCUGCCUCAAAGCAAUACAACCAGGAUUCCUGUUUGUUAGCAGUUGAGGGCAGAGGAGGUGGGCCCUGACAGUAAAUGUGAUGAUGCUUUUUAGUCCAGAAAAUGCUCUGUGGAUGCCAGCUAUUACCAUUCUUUCUGAAAAGCCGUUUGCAGGAGUGUUUGCCUGAAGCCCUCAUGGUGCACAAAUGAGGCAGCAGCAGCUCAGAGGUGAUUCAUUUUAGAGCAUAUGCCUUAUUACAGCAGGGAAAAGUGACCCACAUUAUCUGCUCAGUGCCCACUUGACAGUCUUGGUGGAAUAAAAAAGUCACCCACCAUCUCUCCUGCACUGAAUCGGUAUGUGCUGAAGUGGCCUGUCCCUGAGCUGCCACAAAACAAAAUGUAAAGUGGUUUGCCACUGAGCCUUCCUGACUGCUUCAUAUGUGACAGACAUCCUUUGGCAGCCCUGGGCACCAAAUUAGUAUUAGUGUUAAAAAGACUAUCACCUAUUUCAAAGAGAAAGGGAAAAGUAUUGCACUGCAUAAUUGUAACCAGGGACCAGUGAAUUGUAUAAAAAAAAAAAGGAGGAAAAUUAGGAUCAUGAUGGGUAAUAUGUAUCAUUUGUGCUUAGAGACAUACCAAAAUUAAAUUAAAACACACACACAGACACACAGACACACAGACACACAGAUACACACACACACACACACACACACACACACACACACACACACACACACGAACGCACGCAUGCAUGAGCGCAUGCACGCGGUUAUAUUGUCCAAAUAUAUCUGUCAGGCAUGUGAUUGCCUGUAGUGUUCCAUGGCAGAAAUAUGUCUUGUUUGCAGGUAGUCCGUAAUCUGUGAUAGAUCAUGCAGAUAAAGGCACAAUAAAUAUUUGAAAAAUAAUAGCUACAAAAGACAAGAAUACUAGGAAAUUUUGGAAAGAAUAUAAACAGUGAUAGAAUAUCUAUCCGGAAGGAUUAUUGCACAAGGAAUUUUGGCAGCUCACAUAUCAUGUGAGAACAGAAUAAAUAGGGACAGUCCUGAAGCAGCAAAGAGUUUGCAGUGGAUGUUGGGCAUGCAGAGGUGGAGGUGGAUGCAACCGUCCCUCGGUGCCCCUCAUUUGCACACACCCCUUCCCGUAACUGCAAGGGUGUGUUAGGCAUAUACUUACCAUUCUAUGGUAGUCUAUACAUUUUAACAUGGUCAAGCAUGUUAAAAUGUAUAAGCAUGGUUUGCACCACUGCUUCUUUCCAGACCAACUUCCUGGGCCACACUUCUUCAUGUAACAGCUGGAGAUGCCCCUGGGAUUUAAGUAAGGUGACUUUAGGAUGCCUUUCAAUUACAUUUAGUGGGAUAUAGCUGUGAGGGUCACAGUCACCUCCAUAUGUAGUUGAGUUGUUCCCAAUCUUUUAGUGUAGGAAUGACUUGCACUCAUAUUCCUGCUGUCCGCCUUUGCAGGAUGGUGUGGUUCUAGUGGUCGCAUAGUGAAAUGAACACUGUCCCAAUAAUACCUGAAACUGGAAGACUGUGUGUGGUGUAAGAAAAGCAGGUUUGAAAUGCACAAGAGUAGAAGUUACUCUGGAACAUUCUUUUGGUUAUCUGGCAUGUAAUACUUUUUUUUUUAAUUUGUGAUAAAAUAGACACAACAUAAAGCUACCAUUGUUAUUAGCUGUUUUUUUAACAUAAUGCUCAGUAAUAUUAAACACACGUAUGUUGUUGUAUCACCAUUACCAGCAUCCACACACAGAUUCAGAAAUCUUUCGCAGCUGAAACUCUGUACUCACUGAACAAUAAUUCCCAUUUUUUCUUUUUUUUCCAGGUUUUAGUUACCAAUAUUCCACUUUCUGAUUCUACAAAUUUGACUAUUCAAAAUGUAAAAUAUAAAAAUUGACUAUUCCAGGAACUUUAUUGUAUAAAUAGAAUCAUGCCAUAUUUGUCUUUUGUGACUGGCAUAUUUCAUUUGGCAUGAUGUCCUCAGGGCUCAUCCAUGUUGCCACCUGUCAGAUCGGCCUUCUCCCUUAAAGUUUGAAUUUCUUCCAUUGUCUACAUGAAUUGCAUUUUGUUUCAGUGAUAAUCUAUUUACCAACAUUUGGUUUGCUUCUACCUUUCAGAUGUUGAAAAGAAAAUGCUAAAAUGAACAUGAGUAUACUGUAUUUCUUAGAGUCUCUCCUGCUUUCAAAUUUUCAAGUACACCUGAUGUGUAAAAUUUUAAGAGGACAAUUAGAUUGUCAUUGAUGCCUAGUUAAAGUGGAAAUUCUCAUUUAUUAUGAAUACUUUUUUAUGAGAUGAGUAUUGACGGUGCUUGCCUUUAGUUGCAGCACCCUGGAGGCAGAGGCAGG
This 6881-nucleotide long non-coding RNA is filed under the name Cricetulus griseus (Chinese hamster). RNAcentral's name for it is "lncRNA (ENSCGRG00015036767.1)". Lineage: Eukaryota; Metazoa; Chordata; Mammalia; Rodentia; Cricetidae. The record is from RNAcentral.